This 483-nucleotide ribosomal RNA is filed under the name uncultured bacterium. Its description in RNAcentral is "partial 16S ribosomal RNA". It matches the Rfam family "Bacterial small subunit ribosomal RNA", at positions 28 to 507 of the family's 1533-position model. The record is from RNAcentral.
GACGAACGCUGGCGGCGUGCUUAACACAUGCAAGUCGAACGCUGAAGCUCAGCUUUUGUUGGGGGGAUGAGUGGCGAACGGGUGAGUAACACGUGAGUAACCUGCCUCCUUCUUUGGGAUAACGCCCGGAAACGGGUGCUAAUACUGGAUAUUCACUGGUCUUCGCAUGGGGGUUGGUGGAAAGGGUUUUUCUGGUGGGGGAUGGGCUCGCGGCCUAUCAGCUUGUUGGUGGGGUGAUGGCCUACCAAGGCUUUGACGGGUAGCCGGCCUGAGAUGGUGACCGGUCACAGUGGUACUGAGAUACGGCCCAGACUCCUACGGUAGGCAGCAGUGGGGAAUAUUGCACAAUGGGCGCAAGCCUGAUGCAGCGACGACGCGUGAGGGAUGGAGUCCUGCGGGUUGUGAACCUCUUUCGCUCAUGGUCAAGCCGCAACAAUGGUUGUGGUGAGGGUAGUGGGUAAAGAAGCGCCGGCUAACUACGUG